GCCUCUUCUGAUGCAAAGACUAUUCAGUUAAGCAAAGCAGAGCGGGUCAUCACUCUGGUCUGUGUGUCAGAGGCAAUCCAGGUAAGAGCAUUACGUAUUAUAUGUAUAACUUUAAAAAUAUAUUUAAUGCUUUGUCUAAAAGUUUUAAAGUAUUUCAUUGCUAUGAAACUUGUUCUUCCUAUUUUUCUAUAUGCUCUUUUUUUUUUAGAUAUUAAUGACAUUAAUUUCUCAGACUGUUCUUAACGGUUGUGAAUCCAGUCUGUUCUAGUAGAGAAUGGUUAUCAUUUAUCUCAUGCUUGGUUAUCUCCUCUCUGGUAAGCACUCACCUACAUUUAUGUAUAUAUGUCUAUAUUUUCUUGUUCUCUGUUUGUAUAUGUGCCAGUUUAGCUCUAAAUAAUUCGCUCUAUAUUCUGAUAUCGUAGCUGGUACUGACUGCCUGUGUUACUGUUGAGUUUUUGAAAUGUACCAUCACAGGGUAAACUAUGGCAGAUGGGGGAAAAGGAAAAUUGUACAUCUGGAAAUGUCAUGUCGCAGCUAAUGUGCCUGAACAUUGCCUGCCAAUAAAAUGCAAAAUGAGAUGCAUUGGAAAAAUGUUCCUGACGUUAUUUUUUUUCAUCUGUUUUUCUCAUAGAUACUUAUGCGAAAUGUGAAAACAGCACUUUGUGUAAUGGUUAGUCCUCACUUUGUUUUUAUUUGUUUUGUUUGUUUGUUUUUUAUAAAUCCUGUGAACUUGAAUAGACUGCAACUGGUAGAGAGGUGUGAUAACAGCCUAAGGUUGUGUCUGACACUAAAAUGAAAUAUAAAUUAAAUAUUGAUAAGCUUUUUUUUUCUUUGAUAAUUGUGUAUCUCUAAAAUUAAAUCUUUAAGAGUAAAGAAAGUCGACCAGAUUACGUUUAAAUUUCUUUUUUUUAAUAAUGCUGAAUGUGACAGUGUUCAUUCUUCUUCAUUUUUUUUCUCUUUAGGAGCAACAUUUAAACAAUGCACUGAAUGUAACAUUUGAGAAUACCUUUGUCUGAAGCAAUGGAUUAUAACAGAGCACACUCUAAUUACCUAACAUUAUUUAUUGUUGCUUUCCUCGCUUUUCAUGUUUACUCUGCCCAUCAGAUGAAGUGUUCAUCAGCAGCGAGCCAUCCAGCCCAAAUGAGGGUGACGACGUCACUCUCACAUGCAAUGAAAAAUGUGAAAAUUCAACUGUGACUUUUCAGUGGAAGAAAAAUAAGGCGGUCAAAGAAAAAGAAAAUAAUAAGACCUUUCUUAUCCAAAGUGCCCUUUCAAUUUCUGACAUAUACAUCUGCUCAGUAAAGUGCUCCCGUUACUGUUGUGAUUCUAAACCAUACACACUGUCUGUAAAAAACAACACUGUGAUCAUCUUGGUGGUCUGUGGUGUUGCAGCUUUGGCCCUUGUUUUGAUUAUGGGACUGAUUAUGAAGUGUAAGCUGAAAAGAGACAGUGAUAAACACAGGGAGAGGGUGAGACAGAGACAGGCUGGACAGGCUGCUGGUGGGCCAUAUCCUGUCACACCCAGAGAGUCCUAAAAAGAAAACAUUCUAUCAUAUUUUGAUAUAAUAAAUUCUGAUCUUAUGCAACAUAAUAUAUAUUUAUCUUUUUGAUAUUUCAGACUUUUGAAUGCUCACAAAUUGAAUAAAUACUCUUUAAUCUCUGUUUUUGAGUGCAUGUGUGCGUGUUUAAUCAGUUAAAGUCACACUUUUCCACAAUGUAGCGUUGCAUUUCUGUUAGUUUGCUCAGUUUAAAAAAAAAAGAACCUAGAAAUGUUUUAAUCCACACACAGGAUUGGCAUGCUCGCACUAAUCCUGCUGAAUGCUCCACUCACAGUGGCACACACUGCUCAGCUUUACAGUGGCUUGCAUGUAAUGGAUAUAUGGGAGUGUAAUGCUGUCUACUCCUAUCCAUGAGAGGGAUGAAUGUGGGAUUUGAAGAUUGACUUAUGAACAUAGUAAUAGCGUUAGGUGCCUCGAUUCAAUGUCAGGAUGCAAUGAUUUGAAGUUUAAGUGUUAAGCUCGGUCUUCAUGCUGCCAGAGUGCCUGGCAUUAGCAGUGUUUUGGGGGGGUUCCCCUCCCGGCCAUAUGGCAAAAACUUAUUUAUCCGCAUGUAUGAGUGGGUCAGGAAGGACUGUUUAUUCAGUUUCCUUCUAU
Molecule: long non-coding RNA, 2153 nt
Organism: Astatotilapia calliptera (eastern happy)
Lineage: Eukaryota; Metazoa; Chordata; Actinopteri; Cichliformes; Cichlidae
Source: Ensembl